ACUACGGGUGGCAGCAGUGGGGAAUAUUGCACAAUGGGGGAAACCCUGAUGCAGCGACGCCGCGUGAGUGAAGAAGUUUUUCGGUUUGUAAAGCUCUAUCAGCAGGGACGAAAAUGACGGUACCUGCUUAAGAAGCCCCGGCUAACUACGUGCCAGCAGCCGCGGUAAUACGUAGGGGGCAAGCGUUAUCCGGAUUUACUGGGUGUAAAGGGAGCGUAGACGGCAGCACAAGACUGGAGUGAAAUGCCGGGGCUUAACCCCGGAACUGCUUUGGAAACUGUGCAGCUAGAGUGCAGGAGAGGUAAGUGGAAUUCCUAGUGUAGCGGUGAAAUGCGUAGAUAUUAGGAGGAACACCAGUGGCGAAGGCGGCUUACUGGACUGUAACUGACGUUGAGGCUCGAAAGCGUGGGGAGCAAACAGGAUUAGAUACCCGUGUAGUC
This 440-nucleotide ribosomal RNA is filed under the name uncultured bacterium. RNAcentral's name for it is "partial 16S ribosomal RNA". It matches the Rfam family "Bacterial small subunit ribosomal RNA", at positions 338 to 795 of the family's 1533-position model. The record is from RNAcentral.